GGUGUCUGGGCUGCCAGCGAGUUCCCAGAACCCUGGCGUCCACCCCCACCCAGUGCCGUCAGCACCGUUUGCCUCCUCCACCGGCUGCUCCCGGGACCCGGGCGUGCCGAGCACCGGCUCCACGCCUCUUCUCUCCAGCUCAGUCACGCGAGUCCAGUGCCCCGGUCCCCGCUCUCAUGGAACCCAGACAUAGCCGGCCAUCCUGACCCCGCUCUGACCGCACGGAUAGACAAUCUCGGCACAAAGCGGAGACAGCCCAAGGCACCACCCUCCUAGAACUCAGGCCCAGGAAUUCGACUUCUGACACUUGGGCCCUGACUCUGAUCUCUGGUCAACAUACCUUCCCUGGGCCAGGAAGCUCAUGGUUGCUGGACUUGGAGGGAAGGCUGAAGGGAGACUUGUCUUAUGCGAAAGAGGCCUCUUUCAGACCUAGGGAAGAGGAUUCGUGUAAAAAUGCAUGUUGGAGAGUCACGAAAAGUUUGGCUGGAGAGGCCACGGCUGGAUUGUCCCUCUUAUUUCGGUUCUCCAAAUGCUCCAUUUUCCUCUCCACAGUCCUUUCUGCAAAACACUUUCUUUGAAUAUUUGGUUUAUCACUCUUUCCCAGUCCUCACUUUCCCGCCUCUCUAAAACUCUAAUCUCUGAGUUCCUAAUUUAGCCCUCUGGUCCCCCUCCCCAGCAAUUUCUUGGCGCUUUCACAGUUCGAGUUCCCUCUCCCGGACUUCCC
Galeopterus variegatus (Sunda flying lemur) is the source of this 724-nucleotide long non-coding RNA. RefSeq lists it as uncharacterized. The transcript is spliced from 3 exons. The record is from RefSeq and is a predicted model, not a curated record. NCBI's taxonomy places the organism in Eukaryota, Metazoa, Chordata, Mammalia, Dermoptera, Cynocephalidae.